UCCAGACUCCUACGGGAGGCAGCAGUGGGGGAUAUUGCACAAUGGGGGGAACCCUGAUGCAGCGACGCCGCGUGGGUGAAGGAGCGUUUCGGCGCGUAAAGCCCUAUCGGCAGGGAAGAAGGAGGACGGUACCUGACUAAGAAGCCCCGGCUAACUACGUGCCAGCAGCCGCGGUAAUACGUGGGGGGCAAGCGUUAUCCGGAUUUACUGGGUGUAAAGGGGGCGCAGACGGCAGCGCAAGCCAGGAGUGAAAGCCCGGGGCCCAACCCCGGGACUGCUCUUGGAACUGCGCGGCUGGAGUGCAGGAGGGGCAGGCGGAAUUCCUGGUGUAGCGGUGAAAUGCGUAGAUAUCAGGAGGAACACCGGUGGCGAAGGCGGCCUGCUGGACUGCGACUGACGUUGAGGCCCGAAAGCGUGGGGAGCAAACAGGAUUAGAUACCCCAGUA
This 446-nucleotide ribosomal RNA is filed under the name uncultured bacterium. RNAcentral describes it as "partial 16S ribosomal RNA". It matches the Rfam family "Bacterial small subunit ribosomal RNA", at positions 330 to 792 of the family's 1533-position model. The record is from RNAcentral.